GAAGCACAAAGAAGUUAAGUACUUGCCCAAGUUCACACCAAGAUUUGAACCCAGGUAGUCUUACUUCAGAGACUACGUUUUUAUCCGUGGCCAUUGCCAACCUCAUGCUCAUUCAUUUCUACUCUUGCUGCUAUGUGGAGAACAGAUGGGAGGUGGACACUCAGGGAAACAGGUAAUUUGCCUUGCUACCAGUGUUUCUCUACCAUAAAAAUAUUA
RNAcentral lists this long non-coding RNA (216 nucleotides) under Sus scrofa (pig). RNAcentral's name for it is "lncRNA (multiple genes)". Lineage: Eukaryota; Metazoa; Chordata; Mammalia; Artiodactyla; Suidae. The record is from RNAcentral.